AGUUAAAUUUUUUAUUCAUUUUUAUUAUUAAAAAUUAGCGUAUUCGAUGGAAUAAUCCGAUAAUUAUACUUGGUGUGCUAUAUGUAUCUUAUAUUGUCAUACAAAGCUCCGUUUUUAAUAGUAUAAAUGGAUAAAAAUUUUAAUG
Molecule: non-coding RNA, 145 nt
Organism: Gossypium arboreum
Lineage: Eukaryota; Viridiplantae; Streptophyta; Magnoliopsida; Malvales; Malvaceae
Source: Rfam